Non-coding RNA from Apaloderma vittatum (bar-tailed trogon), 73 nucleotides. NCBI's taxonomy places the organism in Eukaryota, Metazoa, Chordata, Aves, Trogoniformes, Trogonidae. The record is from Rfam.
GGCCAGUUGGCUCAGUCCGUUGAGCGUGGUGCUGAGAAUGCCAAGGUCGCGGGUUCGAUUCCCACUCCGUCCC